This 472-nucleotide long non-coding RNA is filed under the name Pongo abelii (Sumatran orangutan). RNAcentral's name for it is "lincRNA". The record is from RNAcentral. Lineage: Eukaryota; Metazoa; Chordata; Mammalia; Primates; Hominidae.
GGAAAACAGCUACGGAGGGAAGGAUGAGAAGCAAUGCAAAGUGACAUAUACCAUCCUGGCCACAGCUUCCCAAGUUGGGUCCUUUGCUGGGUACACUCAUGUGGCCAUGAGGGACAUCUUCUCAGAGAGGCUACAGAGAUCAGAAAAACUCAUCAAAAUGGAGACCUGCAAAUAAGAAGAGGAAGAGGGAGGAGAGAGAACACAGAAAUCUUCCAAGUGGCUUCAGUGACAGGAGGGGAGGAGUUACCACCUGCCAUUUGCAUGUAAGUGUUUUGUUCCUCUGGUUUAUUGCUCCUAUUUAUGCAUGUGUGUGCAGGAUCUUCAAAAUCCAGGUAAGAAACACAGUGAAGAACUCAUCUACUGCAAGCUUGGCCCCAUCCGUCAGUACCAAUGAAGAGAGACAAAUCAGGAUAGAAAGACAUCACUACCGUCCCUAUGGUCAGUGAUAUUAUGGACUAAUGAAUAAAAAUAA